AGUAAAUUAAAAGUUAAGAAGUAUUUUAACAAAUGUAGAAAACCAAACACGAACAAAAAUAAUUUAAUCGAAACAAGAUAAGUAUAUUUUAUUAUACUUUUUCGCGUAAUGGAAAUUGGGAUUUUAUAGAUUUUUUAAUUUUGUUAAACAACGCGUAAGACGAGCAACUUUCAUGUACGAAAACUAAAACUACUUCUUUUGAUGACUUUGAAGUCUAUCGAAAAUUUUCUUCUGCGCUCUCUCACAAACUGUCAGUGUACGAGAGAAAUAAAGUGAUGUAAAAAAUUAAAUAAAAUAAAAAUAAAGUAAAAUAUGCGAAUAAAAACGCAAACAUUAA
This is a long non-coding RNA of Lucilia cuprina (Australian sheep blowfly), 337 nucleotides long. RefSeq lists it as uncharacterized. The transcript is spliced from 2 exons. The record is from RefSeq and is a predicted model, not a curated record. NCBI's taxonomy places the organism in Eukaryota, Metazoa, Arthropoda, Insecta, Diptera, Calliphoridae.